RNAcentral lists this unclassified non-coding RNA (253 nucleotides) under uncultured Alphaproteobacteria bacterium. RNAcentral's name for it is "contains 16S-23S intergenic spacer region". It matches the Rfam family "Bacterial small subunit ribosomal RNA", at positions 524 to 776 of the family's 1533-position model. Lineage: Bacteria; Pseudomonadati; Pseudomonadota; Alphaproteobacteria. The record is from RNAcentral.
UACGGAGGGUGCAAGCGUUAAUCGGAAUUACUGGGCGUAAAGGGCGCGUAGGCGGCGUUCCAAGUCAGGCGUGAAAGCCCUGGGCUCAAUCUGGGGACUGCGCUUGAUACUGGAGUGCUUGAGGAUGGAAGAGGGUUGUGGAAUUCCCAGUGUAGAGGUGAAAUUCGUAGAUAUUGGGAAGAACACCGGUGGCGAAGGCGGCAACCUGGUCCAUUUCUGACGCUGAGGCGCGAUAGCGUGGGGAGCAAACAGG